RNAcentral lists this ribosomal RNA (120 nucleotides) under Ochotona princeps (American pika). The record is from RNAcentral. Lineage: Eukaryota; Metazoa; Chordata; Mammalia; Lagomorpha; Ochotonidae.
CAGCCAUAUCACCCUGAACGUGCCAGCUCUCUGAUCUCAGAAUCUAAGCAGGGUCAGGUCUGGUUGGUACUUAGAUGGGAGAAUGCUAACUUCUCCUGUGAGAUCUUGAAGAAAAUUUGU